RNAcentral lists this ribosomal RNA (444 nucleotides) under uncultured soil bacterium. RNAcentral's name for it is "bacterial SSU rRNA". It matches the Rfam family "Bacterial small subunit ribosomal RNA", at positions 26 to 518 of the family's 1533-position model. The record is from RNAcentral.
AGAACGAACGCUGGCGGCAGGCUUAACGCAUGCAAGUCGAACGGUUGUAGCAAUACAGCAGUGGCAGACGGGUGAGUAACACGUGGGAACCUUCCUAGGGGUACGGAACAACUCAGGGAAACUUGAGCUAAUACCGUAUACGUCCGUAAGGAGAAAGAUUCAUCGCCCCUAGACGGGCCCGCGUAGGAUUAGGUAGUUGGUGAGGUGACGGCUCACCAAGCCUACGAUCCUUAGCUGAUCUGAGAGGAUGAUCAGCCACACUGGGACUGAGACACGGCCCAGACUCCUACGGGAGCAGCAGUGGGGAAUCUUGGACAAUGGGCGCAAGCCUGAUCCAGCCAUGCCGCGUGAGUGAAGAAGGCCUUGGUUGUAAGCUCUUUACAGGGACGAUAAUGACGGUACCUGGAGAAUAAGCCCCGGACAACGUUCGUGCCAGCAGCCGAC